UACGGGGGGGGCAAGCGUUGUUCGGAAUUACUGGGCGUAAAGGGCUUGUAGGUGGCCAACUAAGUCAGACGUGAAAUCCCUCGGCUUAACCGGGGAACUGCGUCUGAUACUGGAUGGCUGGAGUGUGGGAGAGGGAUGCGGAAUUCCAGGUGUAGCGGUGAAAUGCGUAGAUAUCGGAAGGAACAUCAGUGGCGAAAGCGGCUUCCUGGACCAGUACCGACGUUCAGGCACGAAAGCGUGGGGAGCAAACAGG
RNAcentral lists this ribosomal RNA (253 nucleotides) under uncultured bacterium. Its description in RNAcentral is "partial 16S ribosomal RNA". It matches the Rfam family "Bacterial small subunit ribosomal RNA", at positions 524 to 776 of the family's 1533-position model. The record is from RNAcentral.